RNAcentral lists this microRNA precursor (97 nucleotides) under Nicotiana sylvestris (wood tobacco). RNAcentral's name for it is "MIR6152 microRNA precursor family". It matches the Rfam family "MIR6152 microRNA precursor family". Lineage: Eukaryota; Viridiplantae; Streptophyta; Magnoliopsida; Solanales; Solanaceae. The record is from Rfam by way of RNAcentral. RNAcentral also lists the same sequence under 1 other name.
UGGACAAAUUAUUGUAUUCGAUUGUAUUCACGUCGUGAAAUAGGGGAUUACACUGUUUUUAAAACGGAAAGUGAAUCAAUUAACAUAAUAGACUCCU